AGAGUUUGAUCCUGGCUCAGAAUCAACGCUGGCGGCGUGCCUAACACAUGCAAGUCGAGCGCGAAAGCGGACUUCGGUCUGCGAGUAGAGCGGUGAACGGGUGAGUAACGCGUGGGUGAUCUGCCUUCGAGUGGGGAAUAACACCGGGAAACUGGUGCUAAUACCGCAUGACAUCCUCGGUUCGUUCCGGGGAUCAAAGCUGGGGACCGUAAGGCCUGGCGCUUGAAGAGGAGCCCGCGUCCGAUUAGCUUGUUGGCGGGGUAAUGGCCCACCAAGGCUUCUAUCGGUAGCCGGCCUGAGAGGGCGGACGGCCACACUGGGACUGAGACACGGCCCAUACUCCUACGGGAGGCAGCAGUGGGGAAUUUUCCGCAAUGGGGGAAACCCUGACGGAGCAACGCCGCGUGGAGGAUGAAGGCCCUCGGGUCGUAAACUCCUGUCGAUCGGGAAGAAUGCGUCCGACCCAAUACGUCGGCACGUUGACUGUACCGGUGGAGGAAGCCACGGCUAACUCUGUGCCAGCAGCCGCGGUAAGACAGAGGUGGCAAGCGUUGUUCGGAAUUACUGGGCGUAAAGGGCGCGCAGGCGGUUCGCCAAGUCCCGUGUGAAAUCCCCCGGCUCAACUGGGGAACUGCGCGGGAAACUAGUGGGCUUGAGUUCAGGAGAGGAAAGCGGAAUUCCGGGUGUAGCGGCGAAAUG
Molecule: ribosomal RNA, 699 nt
Filed under: uncultured bacterium
Lineage: Bacteria
Description: bacterial SSU rRNA
Rfam family: Bacterial small subunit ribosomal RNA
Source: RNAcentral